Molecule: ribosomal RNA, 461 nt
Filed under: Scyliorhinus stellaris (nursehound)
Lineage: Eukaryota; Metazoa; Chordata; Chondrichthyes; Carcharhiniformes; Scyliorhinidae
Description: partial small subunit ribosomal RNA
Source: RNAcentral
UGUUAGGUUUGGUCCUGACCUUAGUGUUAAUUGCAACUAAAAUUAUACAUGCAAGUUUCAGCCCCCCUGUGAGAAUGCCCUAAGUAUUCUAUUAAAUAAUUAGGGGCGGGCAUCAGGCACACAUUUUACACGUGGCCCAAGACGCCUUGCUCAGCCACACCCCUAAGGGUUUUCAGCAGUAAUAAAUAUUGAUCAUAUAAGCGUAAGCUUGAAUCAGUUAAAGUCGACAGAGUUGGUAAAUCUCGUGCCAGCCACCGCGGUUAUACGAGUGACUCACAUUAACACUUCCCGGCGUAAAGUGUGAUUAAAGGAUAAUCUCCAAAUAACUACAGUUAUGACCUCAUCAAGCUGUUAUACGCACUCGUGAGUGGAAUAAUCAACAACGAAAGUGACUCUAAAUUACCAGAAAUCUUGAUGUCACGACAGUUGGGCCCCAAACUAGGAUUAGAUACCCUACUAUG